This is a long non-coding RNA of Salarias fasciatus (jewelled blenny), 225 nucleotides long. RefSeq lists it as uncharacterized. The record is from RefSeq and is a predicted model, not a curated record. Lineage: Eukaryota; Metazoa; Chordata; Actinopteri; Blenniiformes; Blenniidae. The transcript is spliced from 3 exons.
AGGACAGAGCAGAGUCUGUGGACAGGGACGAGACGCCAGCUGCUCCUGCAGAGUCCAGGAGCAGACACACAGCAGAGUCUUCAGGAUCCAGCAGGUUGUCUCUGAAGAGUGACUGGUCCAAAGAUUUUCCACCAAACUUCAGUGGUGAACCUGGACCUUCAGACACAAAAGAGAAGAAGAGCAGUGAUGUCUGUGAGGAGCAGCAGGACCAGGGUUCUUCAUCAG